This 1259-nucleotide ribosomal RNA is filed under the name Pseudomonas arsenicoxydans. RNAcentral's name for it is "bacterial SSU rRNA". It matches the Rfam family "Bacterial small subunit ribosomal RNA", at positions 32 to 1269 of the family's 1533-position model. The record is from RNAcentral. Lineage: Bacteria; Pseudomonadati; Pseudomonadota; Gammaproteobacteria; Pseudomonadales; Pseudomonadaceae.
GGGGCUGGCGGCAGGCCAACCAUGGCAGUCGAGCGGUAGAGAGAAGCUUGCUUCUCUUGAGAGCGGCGGACGGGUGAGUAAUGCCUAGGAAUCUGCCUGGUAGUGGGGGAUAACGCUCGGAAACGGACGCUAAUACCGCAUACGUCCUACGGGAGAAAGCAGGGGACCUUCGGGCCUUGCGCUAUCAGAUGAGCCUAGGUCGGAUUAGCUAGUUGGUGAGGUAAUGGCUCACCAAGGCGACGAUCCGUAACUGGUCUGAGAGGAUGAUCAGUCACACUGGAACUGAGACACGGUCCAGACUCCUACGGGAGGCAGCAGUGGGGAAUAUUGGACAAUGGGCGAAAGCCUGAUCCAGCCAUGCCGCGUGUGUGAAGAAGGUCUUCGGAUUGUAAAGCACUUUAAGUUGGGAGGAAGGGCAUUAACCUAAUACGUUAGUGUUUUGACGUUACCGACAGAAUAAGCACCGGCUAACUCUGUGCCAGCAGCCGCGGUAAUACAGAGGGUGCAAGCGUUAAUCGGAAUUACUGGGCGUAAAGCGCGCGUAGGUGGUUCGUUAAGUUGGAUGUGAAAUCCCCGGGCUCAACCUGGGAACUGCAUUCAAAACUGUCGAGCUAGAGUAUGGUAGAGGGUGGUGGAAUUUCCUGUGUAGCGGUGAAAUGCGUAGAUAUAGGAAGGAACACCAGUGGCGAAGGCGACCACCUGGACUGAUACUGACACUGAGGUGCGAAAGCGUGGGGAGCAAACAGGAUUAGAUACCCUGGUAGUCCACGCCGUAAACGAUGUCAACUAGCCGUUGGGAGCCUUGAGCUCUUAGUGGCGCAGCUAACGCAUUAAGUUGACCGCCUGGGGAGUACGGCCGCAAGGUUAAAACUCAAAUGAAUUGACGGGGGCCCGCACAAGCGGUGGAGCAUGUGGUUUAAUUCGAAGCAACGCGAAGAACCUUACCAGGCCUUGACAUCCAAUGAACUUUCCAGAGAUGGAUUGGUGCCUUCGGGAACAUUGAGACAGGUGCUGCAUGGCUGUCGUCAGCUCGUGUCCUGAGAUGUUGGGGUAAGUCCCCUAACGAGCGCAACCCUUGUCCUUAGUUACCACCCCCUUAAUGGGGGGGCCUUCUAAGGGAAACUUCCGGGGGACAAACCCGGAGGAAGGGUGGGGGAGGAAACCCCAAAACAUUCUUGGGCCCCUUAAGGGGGGGGGGGAACCCCCGGGCUACAAAGGGUGGGUCAAAAAGGGGUUCCCCAACCCCCCCGGGGUGGGGC